CGACGUAAAGAAACUUAGCCUCACAGCUAGGGACAACAUUUAGAAAUGAAUGCUAAUACCUGAUAUUAUGAUUUUAGGUCAUCUUAGAAUUAUGAAAGCUAUAAGCACUGUGAGAGAGCUUUGCGUCCCAUUAGCUAGUUGGAGAGGUAACAGCUCACCAAGGCGAUGAUGGGUAGCCGGCCUGAGAGGGUGAACGGCCACAAGGGAACUGAGACACGGCCCUU
This 224-nucleotide ribosomal RNA is filed under the name uncultured bacterium. Its description in RNAcentral is "partial 16S ribosomal RNA". It matches the Rfam family "Bacterial small subunit ribosomal RNA", at positions 113 to 334 of the family's 1533-position model. The record is from RNAcentral.